CACACACACACACACACACACACACACACACACACACACACGUACACAGUGUAAACAACACAGUUCACGACCUACACACCAUCCACUCGCAUCCACUACAUACUAUGCAAGAUACACGAAACAGAGUGACCCCUGUUCUAUCAGUAUUAACCAUGAAAUAUGACAACAGCUAUUCAUACACGCAAGAUUUACUACAGCCAAUCAGAUGUCACACGAGCCUAAGAACGCGAGCCGCUGAAUGAAACCAAGGCGCAAGGAUUGUUUCAGUCUCUUUGACAACCAUCAUCAGAGCCAGCCACUUGCUGUUGAAACCGUACCAUCAUCGUUAUCAACCGUUAACAACAUCAACGUCUUUGAGCAUCACCGGACAGUACAUCAACAACAGACAGAACAUCAACAAGAGCCACAUGACAGCCACGUCGGCUAACCCCUCGAGAACCACCAGAGGCAUCAACUUUUCACCAUCAUCAUAGUCACCAUCGUAUUCAUCACACAUCACCAUCUUCAGGAGCGACGGUGAGGAAUAACUGUGCUUUAACUCUUGUCCUCUCAUCUCCUGCACUGUGUGAAUGGAUUAGCCACAGAAAUGUCACCAAUGCCCAACAAGAAUAACGGUUGCCCCGAACGUUCAUUUCUGCUAACAGGCUAAACCCCCCGAGAACUGCCAGGCACCAUUCACCAUUCACCGCUGUGUCUAAGUGUACUCACCGGAUUCAUCCCCUUGAGCACAUCAUCAGGAGCAACGGUCAGGUUUUUGGAAGGAUAGAAACCAAAGAAGACGACUGGGCCAGGACUUCACCUGGUCAAGGACACUGAUGGCGAGCCUUUCCCAGAGCCUUUCCCAGAGCGACCACAUAUACCCUUAAGUACCCUAACAAGGAACUUUUCCCCCCCUUUUCCACUUUUUUACCAUUUUUAUUUUGUUUAAGGCCACGUGGACCCUUGUUUAUUUUAAGUGUGCACACUGUUUUAUUUUAUUUGGGUUUUUAUACACUUCUGACAAAUUUGUAAACAAUAUACGAGCUUUUUUCACUCAAAAGGA
Molecule: long non-coding RNA, 1042 nt
Organism: Engraulis encrasicolus (European anchovy)
Lineage: Eukaryota; Metazoa; Chordata; Actinopteri; Clupeiformes; Engraulidae
Exons: 3
Source: RefSeq, a predicted model, not a curated record